AUAAUUAAGGGUAAUAAAUGUGCCAGCAUCAGCGGUUAAACAUAAUUAAUAAAUUAAUUAAAUUUAUUUUUUAGAAAAAUUAACUUAAUUAAUUUAUUUAAAUUUAAGUAAAUCAUUAUUAAAAUUUAGUUUAUUAAUUUUAAAAUUUUUUAGUAGAAUAUAAAAUUUUAUAUAAAUAAAUUUAACUAUAAAUUUUUUUUAAAGAAAUUGAUUUAAAAACUAGGAUUAGAUACCCUAUUAUUCAUUUAAUUUAUAGAAUAGUAAAUCUUUAUUUGAAAAUUAAAAAUUUUGACGGUAUUUUAAUCAAUUUAGAGGAUCAUGUUCUGUAAUUGAUAAUUCACGAAUUUAUAAACUUAGAUUUUAUUCUUUUGUAUGUUCGUUAUAAAAAAAUUUUUAAAAAAUUUAUUUUUUAAAAAAUUAUUAAAUUUUUAUUUCAGAUCAAUAUAAAGUUAUAUUUAAGAAGAAAUGUGAUACAAAUUUUAUAUAAAUUUAUAUUUUUAAUAUUAUUAAAUUUUUAGGAUUUAAAAGUAAAAUUAUUAAUUUAAUAGUUUGAAUUUUGAUUUAGAAUAUGUACAAAUUGCCCGUCGCUUUUAUAUAUAGUAAAAUAAGUCGUAACAAAGUAAAAGUACUGGAAAGUGUUUUUA
RNAcentral lists this ribosomal RNA (644 nucleotides) under Eupelmus anpingensis. Its description in RNAcentral is "12S ribosomal RNA". Lineage: Eukaryota; Metazoa; Arthropoda; Insecta; Hymenoptera; Eupelmidae. The record is from RNAcentral.